This 484-nucleotide ribosomal RNA is filed under the name uncultured bacterium. Its description in RNAcentral is "partial 16S ribosomal RNA". It matches the Rfam family "Bacterial small subunit ribosomal RNA", at positions 30 to 507 of the family's 1533-position model. The record is from RNAcentral.
AUUGAACGCUGGCGGCAUGCUUUACACAUGCGAGUCGAACGGCAGCGCGGGCUUCGGCCUUGUGGCGUGUGGCGAACGGGCGAGUAAUGCACCGGAACGUGCCCAGUAGUUGGGGAUAGCCUGGCUAAAGCCGGACUUAUACCGCAUCGGACCUGAGUUUGAACGCGGGGGACCGAAAGUCCUCGCGCUACUGGCGCUGCCCAUGUCGGAUUAGCUAGUUGGUGAGGUAAAGGCUUACCAAGGCGACGAUCCGUAGCCGGUCUGAGAGGACGACCUGCCACACUGGGACUGAGACACGGCCCAGACUCCUACGGGAGGCAGCAGUAGGGAAUUUUGCGCAAUGGGCGCAACCCUGAUCCAGCAAUGCCGCGUGAGUGAUGAAGGCCUUCGGGUUGUAAACCGCUGUUAUUCGGGAAGAACAUCUCUGGACUUAUCCCCGCGCGUCUUGACGGUACCGGAUGAGUAAGCCCCGGCUAACUACGUG